Molecule: long non-coding RNA, 3017 nt
Filed under: Sus scrofa (pig)
Lineage: Eukaryota; Metazoa; Chordata; Mammalia; Artiodactyla; Suidae
Description: lncRNA (ENSSSCG00000053762.1)
Source: RNAcentral
GGGGGAAGCUGGUCUCCUAGACAGUUAGGUUUUCUAUGUGGUGUGUCUGGCUUCCUCUCGGGGUCUUGCAUCUCUGCCACCCCACGCACGUCCUAGGCGGGGAUACGUUUUGUCUGCUGCUGUCAAAAGAAAUUGGAUUUGCCUGAGGCUCGGGCUUCGGAAACAGAGAGGAGAGGGCACUGCCCCUCUCCUUAUCCACACCGAGGCAAGGAAGCUGGCUUUGCUUGGUCCUUCGCUCCUCGCUCCUCUAAAGGAGGACCAAGUCCUGGUCAGGUGCCCAGGGAUGAGGAUGGAGAAGGGGAGGAAGCGGCGCGUGGGGAUCAGGGCUGCUCUCUGCACUCCUGUCCCUGGCGCGCUCUUUCUAGGCUCUUUCUCCUCUGUGUGGAUCUGGAAGCAGAGGUGCUGGUGCAGCUGCCUCCACGAUUGGGGGCAGAAAAUGAUUAAAUGUUGGGGAAGGGACAAGGCAGGGUGGCAGGGGGGGCAGGGGCUUUGGAAUCAGACAGCAGCCGCUUCACGUUCUGGCCAUUCCUCUGGCCAGGAAAAUGGCUCUUAGCUGUUCCUCAUCUGUAAGACAGACGAGGUCACAGAUUUUGAAGUGUCCCGCACAGACUGUUAAUGGUUGUCACCGAAUCACUCUUUAAUCCCUCUUUUUUUUCCUUCUCCAUUUCCAGGCUGAGUUGGAAUUUGUUUUUUUUCUGUUCAUCUCAGACCCUUCAUUUUCCAACUACAGUCUUCCUGGAUUUGAGCAGAUAUCAUUGUCACUUGCAAAUUUAUCAGCUAACCUUGGGUCGUCAGGUAACCUUGAGGGGCUCCACCUGAGUGACCGCCUCCACUUCUGCACAGAAUUUUGGGUUGGCCUGGUCCAGGCAGGACUGACGUCUUGAGGAAGAGCAGCCACAGGGCUGAGAACCGAAGGUGGAGGUGGAAGACACAGGUGAGGGGGAGAAGCUCCGUCCGCCCACCGCCAGCGUCACAGCACCCGUCCCUGACAUGGCACCAAACUGUGCCUUUCUUGCUGGUCGACUGUGGGGAGGAGAGAGAGAGCUCCCAGCCUGUGAUUCCUGAUAUUUCGGGGGUCCGUCUCCUCUCACCUCCGUGCUCACAGGGCCCCCAGAAGUACUGUGCGUGUGGGCAGCGUCGCCCCCUCAGGGGAGCUAUACCCCCAGAGCACCUUUCCUUUGACCGCUCCCAUCCUGAGAGCCCUCACAUGGCCACUUGACUUCCCUUCAUGGCACGCUGGCCACUUGCGUGUGGGACCCUGUCCUGUGUUAGCAGAGAGCCCUCUGGUCCUUUCUUCCAGGCUCCUGUGCUGGGCUUGUCCCUUACUAUUGGGUGACUUUGGCUAAGUUCCUUCGUGGUCUCAUCCUUGGAGUGGGAAAAGAGUAAUAUUGACCUUAUUAUGAGGAUCAGAUGAGUUAAGACCUUCAAAGCACCUCACACAGAGCUGUCAGCUCCUCUGAUGAACUCUCUGCAUCGGGGAGCGAGAGGACCCUGCCUUGGUUGUAACAGGGCGUGAGAGACUCGGUUCAUUCCCCGCGAACAGUGGAGAGCUGAGAGCAAUGGGAUGGCUUCUGGUCCAGUCUCCCUCUUUUCUCGAAAACUUUGUGUGCAUCAGUGGACAGGAAAUUGGUGAUUCAGAUAAGGGAGAGGCUCGGCUCCCUGUUGCCUGCUGACUGUACUGCAUGUCCCUUGGUUCGGCCUUCGAGGCCUGAUGCGGGGCCUGGGCCGACUGGUCACAAUGGCCCGGGCCCCACUCAGGCAGGGCUUGUGUCCUGUGGGCCCGAGUCCGGCCCCAGGAGAGCCCUCCUCCCUGCCCUCCCCUGUGGGCCCCCGGCUCUGCAUUACCCACCAUUCCUGUGCACCUUGAAUUCCCAUGCUCCCGGCCCUGGUCUGUGCUGUUCUCUCUCCAUCUCUCCUCCUGCCGAGACCCGUUUCCUAGGUCUAGAUGAACCCUCUUCCAGCUCGUCCCCCUGCCCUGAUCAAAGCCUAACAUGAGAAAGAGGUGGAGGCCUCAGCCUGGUUUACAGCACCACCCACGGGCUUUGUGGCCCCAGCAGAUCCGUGGGCCCUGUCUUGGGGCUGUGGCCUUGGCACUUCUGCUGCCUUUGCCUGGAAGGCCCAGCUGCCCCUUUGCUCCUAAAGUCUCGAGUCAGCUCAAGUGUCGGUGCCUCCAGGAAGGCUUCCCUGGCUGCCCCUCAUCACUCAGGCUAAGUGCGUCUGAGGGACCACACCUUAUAAGUCAGGUCUCCCUACCUGUGCCCCCUCAGGUCUCCCUAGCACUUCCUGUGGGCAGUUGUUGACUCACGUGCCACCCCCAGUGACCGGGGCUUUGCUGCUUUCAUCUGUGCUUCCCAGAGCCUCCCGUUGGCUCUGCCCAAGAGCGCGCACACUGUGGAGAGCUGCGAAAGUGAGGCAUGCUUUUCUGCCUUGCUGGCUGCAAAUUUCUGCUUUCACAGAGCAGGUCUAGCAAAUUCCCCAGGUGCCAGGCCUUUGGGGAGGGUUUUGGGGGAGACCAAGCUAAUAAUCUUCUUACCUUUGGGCAAAAUGUGUGUGGUUUCACUUCCAGUUUUACUGUGGGUCUUGCCUUGUGGGCCUUGAGGGCAGUUGCAGUCAGUCCGCAGAACUAGGGAAUUGGAUGCUAGAACAUUCCUUGGAGAUUACUUUGCCUAGCUCAGUGAUUCUACCCAUCUCAGUAGCAGAGAGCUUAAGUGACCUGCCUAAGGACCCAAGGACUAAGGGACAGAGAUUGGCACAAGGACCAGCCACCCUUGGUUUCUGGCCUGGAGCACAUUUCUCAGCUCUUGAGAGGGUUCACUGAGGGGAGGGAGGGGUUGAGGCCCGUUUCGAAAUCUGUGGGACAUUCUGGUGGAGCUGAGAGCAGCCCUGCUUCAGAAGCCUCCGGGCUGCUCAGGGCACCUGAGCGGCUGCUGGGACAGGAAGUAAUACUUUCAGAGUUUUAGCCCCAAAACCUCAGAAACUUUUUGAUGACGCAUUAAAUGUCAAAGUGUAUUGUCGAG